UCCUGUUAGCAGCUGGAGAGGCAGGAGUUCCCUCAGCUAGGAUAUAGGGAGAACAUUGAUUAGAAAAAGGAGAGUUUGAAGAAAAAAUAGGAUCCCCCUGGGCCAAGCAACAUUCUGAUAAUUUUAUAACCUGACUAGACACUACAGUUAGCAGACGGCAGAUGGCUGAUUGGAGUCUCAGCAAUUUCCUAAACCUUAAGGACAAAACAAUACGAGGGAAAUAGAUUUGAUAUGAUCAGAAAUCACUUCUGGGACCUAAGCAGAUCCUCCGUGGCGGCAUUGUCAUAUUUCCUUACCCAUCCGCAGAUGUCACCAGCCUCCACUACACUGUAAUACCAUUAAAGUCAAUGACAGCUGAAUCCAAGAGCAGAAGUUGGCCUUUAAGAUUUGCUUCCUUGUAACAUAUGGUACUGUAGUGUAUACCAAGAAAGUUAACCAAGAGGAAGAAUGGUAUUUACAGUAUGUUGAAUUUUAUCACUCACUGUAGCUUUGUAAAGCCUGGGGGCCAAGUUCUGAAGUCCUUACUCAUGUUUUACUGUCUUUGAGGCAAAACUCCUGUUGCUGAGGAAGCAAUGAGUAAAAUGUGAGUAAAGAAUUUAAGAUCUGGCCCUGUGCCUUCAACAAAUUAAGAUAGGUUGAUGGUGACUCACUUCCUUAAUGAGUUAUAUCUGCAGGGCUGUAGAGGUUCGACUAGAUAUAACUGAGGUAUUCAUUAGCUGGAUUUUUUAUUAUUAUUUUUGGUAUCAAUGUUAGAGAAGUCACAAAGAGAUCAGUAGGCUGUUAGAUAUUUUAAAAAACCUCUAUGUAUUGAAAAGCAGCAGUGAGUUUUGAUAGAGUGAAAUUGAGCUGAGAAUAGGGUGGGUUCUGGAGGUUGCUGCAGAAUUCUGUGCAUCCUUACUCUUUUAAAAUGACAGGGUUUGCAGAGUCACUAGUGUAGAAAUUAAUUUAUGGUGGUUAGCUGAACUCCAAAGUAAAGUAAACAGUGAUUCAGAAUCAGGUCUGUCCACCCUUAUGCUGAUAUACCCUUUGCUUUACACACUGCCUUAUUGAUUCUAGAUAGUCACAAAGUAAUAGUCUCAAUGAAGAAGAGGGAAAAUCUGGCUGACAAGCCUCCUGGUCUCUCUGUCUCUGUAUGAGUGAAAGAGUACUACAAGCAUGCUUGUGUCCAUACAUCGUUUUGUCUCUAAUGCAAUUUUGCAGCAAUAGGAUUAGAACAGAUUGCUAGCAUUAUGGCAGCAAAGAUAUUGUUGGGAGUAACUUGGCAACCCUUUAGGUGUUGUGACGCUGGCUCUUUGCUCAAGGGCAAGAACAAGAGAGUGAAUGUUGGAUACAAAAUGGUAAGAGAAAUAAUGUCAGGAAAGUUCAGAAGAUGAAAGCAGCAGCAGUAAAUAAGUCUGAAAUUAUUUUAGGUUUACAUACUUUAAGUCCUCAGUGACUGAAAACACAGCCAAGAAUUGCUUCAGCAAUAUUCCUUCAUAAAUCUGCAUAAUAAUCUCUCAGAGGGGCUUUGGUGAAAUUACAAGUAUUCAUUUACUAAAUUGGGUUCAGUGUCUGUAACAUAUACGCCAUAUGAAUAUUCAGUUCUUUGAAUUCUUCCAAACUACAAUGAAGUUACCACAAUCUGAAAGUAACUCAAAAAGUGAACUACUGAAAUUGGAUCAUAGUUUUCUUUAAUCCAUUGAAAGAAUGUUUUAAAGCUAUGCCCCCCUACUGUAAUUCAACCACAAGUAAUUCCUCCAAAAUGUGACAUGUUUAAGAGAUGUGUUUGCUUUUGGCAUAAUAUAGUUAACUUGACAGUACAGGAUACCCCAAAUGAUAUGUGGUGUUCAUGAAUAGUUUUUCAAAUAAUGUAAUGAUAUCUGCCAAGCAGAUACAGGAAGACUGUUUAAUUGGUAUGCAGAAGAACCAUAAAAGGAACAUUUCAAAAGAAGAAACAACUCUCUUAGAAAACAAUGACCUGUGUUAGCUGAGUGAAAUGCUUUCCAGAAUAUGAGGACUCAUAUUUGGAGUUGCCAAAUGCUAGAAGUUUGGGACUUUGAUGUUUUGAGGAGGAUGAGAUUUUACAAAAGUGCUUAAAGGAUGAUGGGCCCAUAGAAAGUCCAUGGGAUCCUAAGAGACAUAAGUGUCCUUUUUCCAGUUCAGUUAUUUUUAUUUUUACCAACGUAAGGAAGAUUGAAGUAACAUAAUUCUUGUGUGAAAUAAGAGAGUUUACAUAUCAGAAAACUGCAUCAAAGUAACAAAGAUGUUUAUUAAUCCAAUUUAGAUAUUUCACUAUCAAUUUGUAUGUAGACAAGCCUUUUGACUCUGUUAGACUACUUCUAUUCACUCAAGAUACGUCU
Molecule: long non-coding RNA, 2339 nt
Organism: Alligator mississippiensis (American alligator)
Lineage: Eukaryota; Metazoa; Chordata; Crocodylia; Alligatoridae
Exons: 4
Source: RefSeq, a predicted model, not a curated record